ACUCCUACGGGAGGCAGCAGUGGGGAAUAUUGCACAAUGGGCGCAAGCCUGAUGCAGCCAUGCCGCGUGUAUGAAGAAGGCCUUCGGGUUGUAAAGCACUUUCAGUCGUGAGGAAGGUAGUGUAGUUAAUAGCUGCAUUAUUUGACGUUAGCGACAGAAGAAGCACCGGCUAACUCCGUGCCAGCAGCCGCGGUAAUACGGAGGGUGCGAGCGUUAAUCGGAAUUACUGGGCGUAAAGCGCAUGCAGGUGGUUUGUUAAGUCAGAUGUGAAAGCCCGGGGCUCAACCUCGGAAUAGCAUUUGAAACUGGCAGGACUAGAGUACUGUAGAGGGGGGUAGAAUUUCAGGUGUAGCGGUGAAAUGCGUAGAGAUCUGAAGGAAUACCGGUGGCGAAAGGCGGCCCCCUGGACAGAUACUGACACUCAGAUGCGAAAGCGUGGGGAGCAAACAGGAUUAGAUACCCUGGUAGGAUAGCG
RNAcentral lists this ribosomal RNA (475 nucleotides) under uncultured bacterium. RNAcentral describes it as "bacterial SSU rRNA". It matches the Rfam family "Bacterial small subunit ribosomal RNA", at positions 335 to 799 of the family's 1533-position model. The record is from RNAcentral.